Molecule: ribosomal RNA, 253 nt
Filed under: uncultured prokaryote
Description: partial 16S ribosomal RNA
Rfam family: Bacterial small subunit ribosomal RNA
Source: RNAcentral
GACAGGGGAUGCAAGCGUUAUCCGGAAUGAUUGGGCGUAAAGCGUCUGUAGGUGGCUUUUUAAGUCUGCCGUCAAAUCCCAGGGCUCAACCCUGGCCAGGCGGUGGAGACUACUAAGCUGGAGUACGGUAGGGGCAGAGGGAAUUUCCGGUGGAGCGGUGAAAUGCGUAGAUAUCUGGAGGAACACCGGUGGCGAAGGCGGCAUCCUGGACCGGCAUUGACGCUGAGGCGCGAAAGCCAGGGGAGCAAACGGG